RNAcentral lists this long non-coding RNA (533 nucleotides) under Pelobates cultripes (western spadefoot toad). Lineage: Eukaryota; Metazoa; Chordata; Amphibia; Anura; Pelobatidae. The record is from RNAcentral.
CUGAAUUGGAGUAUGUACUAAAAAGAGUUGAAGUGAUCACAAUUGUUCUCUUUUAGGUUCGAUCAAUCAGCAUCAAUGUUCGGAAAAAUCUUGCUUUUAACACACUGAGCCAGGAAAUUCUUCUGAAGGAAUUUUCAACCAUUUCAUGAAAAUGAACUCCUAAUGUGAUCAGAUGGCCACCAGAAGAGCUGGGACACAUUUCUACUAGCACUGUGGGUGGACUGUUGCGUCAUUGUUUCUAUUUCCUUUACACAUAACCUGCCUUUUUAGAGUACAAACAUAGGUCUUUGAUGAAUUCAGUUUCCCAUUGUUCCAAAUAUAUUGUCUAACUAAAAGAAUGGAAAUGACGCCCCAUCUCCCUGCUUAACGCGGACACAAAGCUCUUUGCUAAAAUUCUUGCCAACAGAAUACGCCCCAUCCUGGGUACACUCGUUUCUCCGGAGCAAUCGGGUUUUGUCCCGGAACGUCAGGUAGAGGACAACACAAGGCGUGCACUAGACAUAAUGGAACUCCUGACAGUACAUAGAACACAG